CAAUAGCGUAUACUAAAGUUGUUGCGAUUAAAAAGCUCGUAGUUGGAUCUCAGGCAUGGGCGCACGGUCCGCCUCGCGGCGGUCACUGUGUGUACUUUUUCCCAUCCUACGCUUCCCGGUUCUUCAGCCCAUGGUGCUCUUCAUUGAGCGUUUUGGGUGGCCGGAACGUUUACUUUGAAGAAAUUAGAGUGUUCAAAGCAGGCAAGUCGCCUGAAUAAUGGUGCAUGGAAUAAUGGAAUAGGACCUCGGUUCUAUUUUGCUGGUUUUCGGAACACGAGGUAAUGAUUAAGAGGGACAGACGGGGGCAUCCGUAUUGCGGUGUUAGAGGUGAAAUUCUUGGAUCAUCGCAAGACGAACAACUGCGAAAGCAUUUGCCAAGCAUGUUUUCAUUAGUCAAGAACGAAAGUCAGAGGUUCGAAGACGAUCAGAUACCGUCGUAGUUCUGACCAUAAACGAUGCCAACUAGCGAUUCGCUGGUGUUGCUUCAUCGACUCUGCGGGCAGCUUCCGGGAAACCAAAGUUUUCGGGUUCCGGGGGAAGUAUGGUUGCAAAGCUGAAACUUAAAGGAAUUGACGGAAGG
Molecule: ribosomal RNA, 580 nt
Filed under: Crepidula fornicata
Lineage: Eukaryota; Metazoa; Mollusca; Gastropoda; Littorinimorpha; Calyptraeidae
Description: SSU rRNA
Rfam family: Eukaryotic small subunit ribosomal RNA
Source: RNAcentral